GUAAGGACGCGUAGGCGGGAAGCCAAGUCUGAUGUGAAAUCCUAUGGAUAACCAUAGAACUGCAUUGGAAACUGGUUACCUAGAGUAUGGGAGGGGGAGAUGGAAUUAGUGGUGUAGGGGUAAAAUCCGUAGAUAUCACUAGGAAUACCGAAAGCGAAGGCGAUCUCCUGGAACAAUACUGACGCUAAGGCGUGAAAGCGUGGGGAGCAAACGGGAUUAGAUACCCCGGUAGUCCACGCCCUAAACGAUGUUCACUAGUCGUCGGAAUGCUAGUCAUUUCGGUGAUGCACUUAACAGAUUAAGUGAACCGCCUGGGGAGUACGGUCGCAAGAUUAAAACUCAAAGGAAUAGACGGGGACCCGCACAAGUGGUGGAGCAUGUGGUUUAAUUCGAAGAUACGCGAAGAACCUUACCUAGCCUUGACAUUGAAGAAACACUUUAGAGAUAGAGUGGUGCCCUUCGGGGAAUCUGAAAACAGGUGCUGCACGGCUGUCGUCAGCUCGUGUCGUGAGAUGUUGGGUUAAGUCCCGCAACGAGCGCAACCCUCGUCCUUAGUUGCCAGCAGGUUAAGCUGGGCACUUUAAGGAGACUGCCUUCGCAAGGAGGAGGAAGGUGAGGACGACGUCAAGUCAUCAUGGCCCUUAUGGCUAGGGCUACACACGUGCUACAAUGGGGCGUACAGAGAGUUGCGAUACCGCGAGGUGGAGCCAAUCUCAUAAAGCGUCUCUCAGUUCGGAUUGGAGUCUGCAACUCGACUCCAUGAAGCUGGAAUCACUAGUAAUCGUAGAUCAGCAAUGCUACGGUGAAUACGUU
Molecule: ribosomal RNA, 813 nt
Filed under: uncultured bacterium
Lineage: Bacteria
Description: bacterial SSU rRNA
Rfam family: Bacterial small subunit ribosomal RNA
Source: RNAcentral